UUAGUCGAAACCAAAAAGAGGUAUAUCACUGUUAAUGAUAAAAUUGAAUAAUAUUCCGCCUAAA
This 64-nucleotide transfer RNA is filed under the name Neotermes sp. A TB-2014. RNAcentral's name for it is "tRNA-Asn". The record is from RNAcentral. Lineage: Eukaryota; Metazoa; Arthropoda; Insecta; Blattodea; Kalotermitidae.